Molecule: ribosomal RNA, 787 nt
Filed under: uncultured Actinomycetes bacterium
Lineage: Bacteria; Bacillati; Actinomycetota; Actinomycetes
Description: bacterial SSU rRNA
Rfam family: Bacterial small subunit ribosomal RNA
Source: RNAcentral
GCAGCAGUGGGGAAUAUUGCACAAUGGGCGCAAGCCUGAUGCAGCGACGCCGCGUGAGGGAUGACGGCCUUCGGGUUGUAAACCUCUUUCAGCACAGACGAAGCGCAAGUGACGGUAUGUGCAGAAGAAGCACCGGCCAACUACGUGCCAGCAGCCGCGGUAAUACGUAGGGUGCGAGCGUUGUCCGGAAUUACUGGGCGUAAAGAGCUCGUAGGUGGUUUGUCGCGUUGUUCGUGAAAACUCACAGCUUAACUGUGGGCGUGCGGGCGAUACGGGCAGACUGGAGUACUGCAGGGGAGACUGGAAUUCCUGGUGUAGCGGUGGAAUGCGCAGAUAUCAGGAGGAACACCGGUGGCGAAGGCGGGUCUCUGGGCAGUAACUGACGCUGAGGAGCGAAAGCGUGGGGAGCGAACAGGAUUAGAUACCCUGGUAGUCCACGCCGUAAACGGUGGGUACUAGGUGUGGGUUUCCUUCCUUGGGAUCCGUGCCGUAGCUAACGCAUUAAGUACCCCGCCUGGGGAGUACGGCCGCAAGGCUAAAACUCAAAGAAAUUGACGGGGGCCCGCACAAGCGGCGGAGCAUGUGGAUUAAUUCGAUGCAACGCGAAGAACCUUACCUGGGUUUGACAUGCACAGGACGUGCCUAGAGAUAGGUAUUCCCUUGUGGCCUGUGUGCAGGUGGUGCAUGGCUGUCGUCAGCUCGUGUCGUGAGAUGUUGGGUUAAGUCCCGCAACGAGCGCAACCCUUGUCUCAUGUUGCCAGCGCGUUAUGGCGGGGACUCGUGAGAG